GGCAGCAUGGCAUAGUGGUUUGAGCAUUAGACUAUUGACUUUGGAGAUCAGGGCUCAAUUCCCUGCUCAGACA
This is a non-coding RNA of Phrynosoma platyrhinos (Desert horned lizard), 73 nucleotides long. The record is from the annotation of a GenBank genome assembly. NCBI's taxonomy places the organism in Eukaryota, Metazoa, Chordata, Lepidosauria, Squamata, Phrynosomatidae.